ACCGCCCGUCCACACCAUGAGAGUUGGGAAUACCCGAAGCCUGUGAGCUAACCGCAAGGGAGCAGCAGUCGAAGGUAGAAUCAAUGAUUGGGGUGAAGUCGUAACAAGGUAAC
Molecule: ribosomal RNA, 113 nt
Filed under: uncultured bacterium
Lineage: Bacteria
Description: partial 16S ribosomal RNA
Rfam family: Bacterial small subunit ribosomal RNA
Source: RNAcentral